This 478-nucleotide ribosomal RNA is filed under the name uncultured bacterium. Its description in RNAcentral is "partial 16S ribosomal RNA". It matches the Rfam family "Bacterial small subunit ribosomal RNA", at positions 28 to 507 of the family's 1533-position model. The record is from RNAcentral.
GAUGAACGCUGGCGGCGUGCUUAACACAUGCAAGUCGAACGGGAAACCUUUUAUUGAAGCUUCGGCAGAUUUAGCUGGUUUCUAGUGGCGGACGGGUGAGUAACGCGUGGGUAACCUGCCCUAUACAGGGGGAUAACAACCAGAAAUGGUUGCUAAUACCGCAUAGGCGCACAGGGCCGCAUGGUCCGGUGUGAAAAACUCCGGUGGUAUAGGAUGGACCCGCGUUGGAUUAGCCAGUUGGCAGGGUAACGGCCUACCAAAGCGACGAUCCAUAGCCGGCCUGAGAGGGUGAACGGCCACAUUGGGACUGAGACACGGCCCAGACUCCUACGGGAGGCAGCAGUGGGGAAUAUUGCACAAUGGGGGAAACCCUGAUGCAGCGACGCCGCGUGAAGGAAGAAGUAUCUCGGUAUGUAAACUUCUAUCAGCAGGGAAGAUAGUGACGGUACCUGACUAAGAAGCCCCGGCUAACUACGUG